GUGCACUUGAGAUAUUGCAAGUGAUGAGCAAAACAGAUCUUUAAUAAAUGAAAUAAAUGUGACUGUAUGUCCUACAUCCCAUUCCUGUUGUCUUCCAUGUCUCCUCAGAGGAAGGCCUGAGGAGAGAAGACACAUAGUCAUGCUGACUAAACCAGAUCACCUAGAAUUACCAAAUGGAAAGCAUCUACUUGUUUCCAAAGUUAUUUGGGUCAGCAUUUUCCUCCACCCACCACUUAAAACUGAUUUGUUUCAUACAUUUGAAAUGUAUGAAAAGCCAGAAAUCCAGGACCCACCCUGGCCUGCUCCCUUUUUCUCACCUACUGUGUUAAGGAUAAGUCAAUUGAGCUUCACUUCUCUAAUUGAAAUCACCGUGCUGAUGGAGUCUGUCUGUGGAAAUGAAAGGUGGCUACCAUAAUCUGUUGGGAGUUGAAUUAAUCCUCUGGGAGUGAGGCUGACCUAAUUACUCAGAAAUACUGGGCUUGCUUUCAUUCUGUGGAAUACAGCCAUGAGAAAGAGGCCAGCAUGCCAUUUCCUAAUCUUUUCUUGAAUUGCCUGAAACUCACCUAACAUGAAACUGAGAAGCCUUUUCAUUUGAAAGUGGUAUUUCUUAUGUUUUUUAUCUUUUUGCUUGAAAGUAUUCUUAAACUAAAGAAAGGAGAAACAGAAAAGGUGAAGAAGCCAAGAGGCUGGAGUUUCCUUUUGAAUGGAUAUUCAUCCAUGAAGCUGUUGAUUCUGUUUUUCUGUUCCUCCAGAUGUCUACACUUUUACCUCUGCUUGCCUGAUACAACCACCACCAGUCACCUCACAGAAUAACUCACUCCUUAAGAAUCUGAUCAGGAAUCAGCCUUCCCUGAUCACAAACACUGAGUUUAGAAGUCCCUCCACAGUGUCCCCCGUAACCCUGUGCUACCUCACUGCCUCAUAGUUUAGUGCCGUUUGUGUACAUGCCUAUCUUCGUCCAUGGAUCCAGAACAACUUGUAAAAAUGACUGUACUUAUCACCUUCAGUAUUCAAUGACUAAACUAUAAUUUUAACAUAUCUGGCAGAAUGAAUCACUUGGGGAUUUCUGCCAACACUACCAAUAUAUUACUCCUAAUUUGUAAUUAUUACUUAGCAUGGAUUAUAGUACCGGCUGUUGGAGAGCCAAUGUGGCAGACCCUAAGUGGAAUAAAAUGUCAGUAGCAGUCUAGGAGCAUAUAUUUAUUGGAAUAGAUCAUUCAUUCAUUUGUUCAUUAACUAAUUUGUUCAUUAAAUAAACAUUUAUUAAGC
Molecule: long non-coding RNA, 1269 nt
Filed under: Homo sapiens (human)
Lineage: Eukaryota; Metazoa; Chordata; Mammalia; Primates; Hominidae
Description: CCDC26 long non-coding RNA
Source: RNAcentral